UACGUAGGGGGCAAGCGUUGUCCGGAAUCACUGGGCGUAAAGGGCGCGUAGGCGGCUUUGUAAGUCGGGGGUGAAAGCCUGUGGCUCAACCACAGAAUUGCCUUCGAUACUGCAUGGCUUGAGACCGGAAGAGGUAAGUGGAACUGCGAGUGUAGAGGUGAAAUUCGUAGAUAUUCGCAAGAACACCAGUGGCGAAGGCGGCUUACUGGUCCGGUUCUGACGCUGAGGCGCGAAAGCCAGGGGAGCAAACGGG
Molecule: ribosomal RNA, 253 nt
Filed under: uncultured bacterium
Lineage: Bacteria
Description: partial 16S ribosomal RNA
Rfam family: Bacterial small subunit ribosomal RNA
Source: RNAcentral